GAUGAACGCUGGCGGCGUGCCUAAUACAUGCAAGUCGAGCGAACAGACGAGGAGCUUGCUCCUCUGACGUUAGCGGCGGACGGGUGAGUAACACGUGGAUAACCUACCUAUAAGACUGGGAUAACUUCGGGAAACCGGAGCUAAUACCGGAUAACAUGUUGAACCGCAUGGUUCAACAGUGAAAGACGGUCUUGCCGUCACUUAUAGAUGGAUCCGCGCCGCAUUAGCUAGUUGGUAAGGUAACGGCUUACCAAGGCAACGAUGCGUAGCCGACCUGAGAGGGUGAUCGGCCACACUGGAACUGAGACACGGUCCAGACUCCUACGGGAGGCAGCAGUAGGGAAUCUUCCGCAAUGGGCGAAAGCCUGACGGAGCAACGCCGCGUGAGUGAUGAAGGUCUUCGGAUCGUAAAACUCUGUUAUUAGGGAAGAACAAAUGUGUAAGUAACUAUGCACGUCUUGACGGUACCUAAUCAGAAAGCCACGGCUAACUACGUG
RNAcentral lists this ribosomal RNA (497 nucleotides) under uncultured bacterium. RNAcentral describes it as "partial 16S ribosomal RNA". It matches the Rfam family "Bacterial small subunit ribosomal RNA", at positions 28 to 507 of the family's 1533-position model. The record is from RNAcentral.